Molecule: long non-coding RNA, 509 nt
Organism: Heterocephalus glaber (naked mole-rat)
Lineage: Eukaryota; Metazoa; Chordata; Mammalia; Rodentia; Bathyergidae
Source: RefSeq, a predicted model, not a curated record
CGCAAAUUGGGGCGCGAGGUGGGCGUUGAACGUCCAUUUGUGUCACAGUCGGUGACCCCAACUCAGUCACCUUCUCCAGGAUUUAGAAAGACGGCCUUGAGAUAAACGAAAAAGAUGACUUCUGGAGCCGUGUUUCUAUGAGGGAAUUAUACUCUCCAUGGCCUGUGUGAAUCACAGGAAACAAAACAGAGCCAAGAAAAUAGUGUCCACAGAACCAGACCUAGGAGUGACAUUAGAAGGAACAGAAAAGGCUCUAUGGCAGUGAACAUAACUGGCUCAGAUAGAUGUGUUGUGGAUCUAUUUGGAAGAAAGAUAUGCAAGGACCAGCAGAAGCCAUCUCAGUCAAGCAGAGACUGGUAGCACAUGCCUUGUAGCAACAGCCACUUGGAAAGCUGAGGCAGGAGAAAGAUUUGAUCCCACAAGUUUGAGAUCAACCUGGGAAGGACAGUGACUUAAUCUCGAAAAGAAUAACAAACAAAUAAGCAAAUAAACAACAAAACCAAACAAAA